Molecule: long non-coding RNA, 426 nt
Organism: Marmota monax (woodchuck)
Lineage: Eukaryota; Metazoa; Chordata; Mammalia; Rodentia; Sciuridae
Exons: 2
Source: RefSeq, a predicted model, not a curated record
CUCUCUCUCACUAGCCUCUUUUGUAAAACCUCGCUGCCCACCUGGGGAGCUUGAGGCUGAGGGAUCAAGGAGCCAUCCCUGGAGCUGGUUUAAAGGAUGGCAAGUCUUCAAAGCAAGAAUUUUGGGACUCAAGAGAGUAAAUCAUCACCUGCUUUUUCAAAGAAAGAAGGGGGAAUAUGUGGAAGACCAUCCUUGCACAUGACUGAGUUGCCUCCCAGGCUGGGUGUGAGGCAGUCAGUUGCAGAAAUGUGGCAGAGCUUUCCUCACCCUUCUUGGUUUUGAGAACAUAUCCCUGUGGAGGCAUGCCUUACCACUAUUCCAGGGAUUCAAUCACUUCAUCUGACAUUGCAACACUGACCCCUUUGGCCUUCAAUGGAUAGGAUUUUCCCCAGAGUUUUUAGUUCCCCAAUAAAAGCCCUCUCCCUA